AGAACUCCACUCUAUUGUACGGCAGCUGGAGACUUCCUGAUUGUCAUCUAGAAAGCACGCCGAGACUGCAGUUGAUACCUUUCUGCCUCAGGUCUGUUAGUACAAGUGUACACAACACCACACUCCAAGUAACCAUCUGAUUACAAACACAAAGCAGUUGUGUUGCAGCAACUCCACUUGGGUGUAGUGCAAAAGUGCAAUUUGCUCAGAAUCAGUCAAACCACGUGAAAGUUUACUGAAGAUCGAACACAGAUGACAUUGAAUGCAAAUCAAUUGUCUGCAAUCUUUUGGGCUAGAUUCAACAAUAUUGAAUGUGAAACCAAUACAACCUACAAAGUUGGCUAAACCCUGAGGUUAUCAUAAGAAAGAUCCGGCAGUUUCAUCAGACAGUCUGUUAUCCACAAAUUCUUGGUCUGUGUAUGGUUCCAAUGUGAUGCAGAUGAGGCAGCCCGAGCUCCCACCUGAUUGAACCUACAGGAAUACCCAAAAUCUGAAGAAGGCUUAUGCCCGAAACGUCGAUUCUCCUGUUCCCUGGAUGCUGCCUGACCUGCUGUGCUGUUCCAGCAACACAUUUUCAGCUCUGAUCUCCAGCAUUUCUCACUUUCUCCUCUAAUCUCAAUAAAUGUAUUCUUUGGAUCCCAAACAGAAAAGUGGCCAAGGUAUGGGCAUAUUCACAGGAGACAACCAAUUAGAAAAUCAAUUCAAUUUUCACUCUCCGACAUCAAGUUACUUACUGGUCUGAAAAUAGUGAAUAAGCUAGAACAAUGUAGUCCAAUACAUAACCAACUAGCCAGAUGUGGCUAAUUGCAUUUCUGAUUUAUAAAUAUAAGAUGAUCAAUUAACACUCUCAUUAAAUUUGUUAUAUAUUCAUACAGAAUAUAGUUUUAGCCUUUUUUGUUUAUCUGAUUUUAAGAUGCACAGUAAAAUAUCAAACUUCUUUUUUUAUAAUGUGAGCCAUUUAAUCCCCUGCUAGCUCAACAAUGGCAGAUAAAGGGCAGCACUGUGGCUCAGUGGUUAGUACUG
This is a long non-coding RNA of Chiloscyllium plagiosum (whitespotted bambooshark), 1023 nucleotides long. RefSeq lists it as uncharacterized. The record is from RefSeq and is a predicted model, not a curated record. NCBI's taxonomy places the organism in Eukaryota, Metazoa, Chordata, Chondrichthyes, Orectolobiformes, Hemiscylliidae.